CCCUACGGGGUGCAGCAGUUACGAAACCUUUACAAUGCACGAAAGUGUGAUAAGGGAACUCAAAGUGCUAACACACUGUGUUGGCUUUUGCUAAGGGUAAAUACCUUAGAGGAUAAGUGGUGGGUAAGACUGGUGCCAGCCGCCGCGGUAACACCAGCGCCACAAGUGGGAAUCAGUUUUAUUGGGCUUAAAGCGUUCGCAGCCUGUUUUGCAAAUCCUUCGUGAAAUCGUUGCCCUUAAUGCAACGGCGUGCGGAGGACACUACAUUACUAGGGACCGGGAGGGGUUAGGAGUAUGCUGUGGGGAGCGGUAAAAUGCUAUAAUCCUCAGUAGACUACCUUUGGCGAAGGCGCCUAACUAGAACGGGUCCGACGGUGAGGAACGAAAGCUGGGGGAGCGAAACGGAUUAGAUACCCGUGUAGUCCCAGCCGUAAACGCUGCGAACUAGAUGUUGCAUAUUUUUCGUGAAUGUGCAGUGUCGGAGCGAAAGUGUUAAGUUCGCCGCCUGGGAAGUAUAGUCGCAAGACCGAAACUUAAAGGAAUUGGCGGGGGAGCACCACAACAGGUGCGGCGUGCGGUUUAAUCUAACUUUACGCAGAGAAUCUCACCAGAAGCGACGGCAGGAUGAAGGUCAGAUUGAAGGUUUUACCUGACAAGCCGAGAGGAAGUGCAUGGCC
Molecule: ribosomal RNA, 677 nt
Filed under: uncultured euryarchaeote
Lineage: Archaea; Methanobacteriati; Methanobacteriota
Description: bacterial SSU rRNA
Rfam family: Archaeal small subunit ribosomal RNA
Source: RNAcentral